RNAcentral lists this long non-coding RNA (918 nucleotides) under Homo sapiens (human). RNAcentral describes it as "HSALNT0114814". The record is from RNAcentral. Lineage: Eukaryota; Metazoa; Chordata; Mammalia; Primates; Hominidae.
UUUUGAAUAGUUGAACACAAACUCUAUGAAGUACAUUACUAAAUUGCCCAUAUUUUCAGUCUCUAAAAAGGGAAGUAAAAUCAUUAUAUGUAAAUUUUUACAACAUAUAUGGACAAUAAAAGCAUAUUUUACCAUAUGCAUGGUUUGAAUAUAUUUCCCUAACUUUAUGUGUUAGAAACUUAAUUCCCAAAGUAACAGCAUUGAGAAGUGGAACCUUUAAGAGGUGAUUAGCUCAUGAGGGCUAUGCCCUUAUGAAUGAAUUAAUGUGAUUAUCGAAAGAGUGUGUUAGUUAUCUCAGAAGUGGCUUCCUGAUAAAAAGAUGAGUUCUGGCUCUCUCUAUCCCUCCUUUAUCUCUCUCUCUCUCUUUCAUGAAUGUGCUCUCUCGCCCUGCCACCUUCCUCAUGGGAUAAAGGCUCUGUCCAGAUGCAAACCCCUUGAUUUUGGAUUUUCCAGCCUUCAGAACUACCUUGUGACCAGCUACCAACUUGAAGAAUGGAUAAGAGUUUACUUAAGGGUGGGGGCACUAUCAGACUUGUUCUACAGGUGAAUUAUGGCAAAUAUUUCUUGUAUAUUACUCUCAUGCUGUAGGAGCUUCAGAUAUAUACCUGUCGUGGUUUGGCUCUGUGUUUCCACCCAAAUCUCAUGUCAGAUUGUAAUCCCCACACGUUGAAGGAGGGGCCUGGUGGGAGGUGAUUGAAUCACGGGAGCAGACUUGUCCCUUGCUUUUCUAGCGAUGGAGUUCUCAGGAGAUCUGGUUGUUUGAAAGUGCGUGGCACUUUCCCCUUUCCUGUCUCUCUCUCUCUCCUGUUCUGCCAUGGUAAGACGUGUUUGCUUCCCCAUAGCCUUCCACCAUGACUGUAAAUUUCCUGAGCCCUCCCAGCCAUGCUUUCUGUACAGCCUGUGGAACUGUGAGUCAAU